This 26823-nucleotide long non-coding RNA is filed under the name Zea mays. Its description in RNAcentral is "long non-coding RNA (ZMAY_LNC003593)". The record is from RNAcentral. Lineage: Eukaryota; Viridiplantae; Streptophyta; Magnoliopsida; Poales; Poaceae.
ACAUUUGGGGUUACAAAAUGUUUCAGUAUAUUACAUUUCAGAAGUUUUUCACAAAAAUACUUAAUCCUCUCUCAAAACGACUUCUGCAGCCUCGUUCAGGAGCCGAUUGACGGCUUCGUCCAUAAUAUCUUCAGCCAUCUUUUUUAUUUCGUCGUCUCCUUUCGGCUGAGGGCCCGAAGACGUUUUAGCAGGAUCUGAAGUAAGACAGGAUACGGCUACAUUGCUAUUACAAAUCGCAAACAAAUCUUAAAGCCUAAAGAUUACAACACAAUAAAAACUAUUAGUUAAUACCUAAUUGACCUUCGGCCUCUGCGCUCUUUUCAGCAGCCUCAGCUACUUCUCUAGCAUCGUGAAUGCCCUUUUCACUUCUUCGAAUAAUUUCUCCGGCCAUUUCUCGGCCACCAUUAUCCCAGAUAUCGGUAAAAAAUUUUCCACCAAUUAUACUAGCUUCGGCCGAAGGAUCUCUUGCAUCUUCAAAGGACAAAGCAGCUUCGGACUGUGCUAAAAUUUUUACAUGUUCGCAGCCUUUCUUCUCUAAGAUGGUGGCAAUCCCUCUGGCACCAGAGAAGGCACAUAUAUCUCCUCGGCUAUUUAAAAUUUCUUCGAAGGCCUCAGCUUCGUGGUCGAUCCAUUCGAUGGGACCUUCGGGAUUGCCUCUCGUAAAGUUUUCUUCGCUUGAAAAGGCGCCAACCCUGGCGAAGCUACCUUUUAACUUUUUAACACACUCUAUAGAUUUGUUAUAGCAUCUCUUUUUGGACGAACGAAGCUCUUCAACAGUUAUUUCUAGGUGAUCGGCCCAUUGGUCGCUGAGUUCUCGCUUUGUUUCUUCAAGUAUGCGUUCUUCCUUGGCUCUGGCCAGUUGUUUCCGAAGGUCUUCAAUUUCUCACUUUUGAGCUUCAGCUUGGCCUUUAAAAGCAGCUUCGUCCUCCUUUAUUUUAUGUAUCAAUGAGUACAACAUUUUAUCUUUUUCUAGACCUUCGUUCCUCAGUUCAAUAACUUCGGAACGAAGGUUGCUCAGGGCUAUAGAACACCCUUCGUCUUCAGCAUCUUUCUGUGCCCUGAGGGCAUUGCUGAGUAUCAGGCCCUGCAAAGAGAAAUAUGUCUGUGUCAAUAAGUUUAAACAAACGAAAAAUUUUGAACUCAACAAAAAAUACAAGGAUUUCAUUUGUCGCACCUUUAAGCUAUUGUAAGCUAGGCUGUCGGCCAGAUCGUUCUUUGACAGCACCGAAAGUCCGUCUUCUAAAGUUGGGAAUCCGAAGCUCCUGCUCAUCUCCCGACAGACAGAAAUUUCCUUGCUAUCGGGGAGACAAUACAAGAAGUCUUCUUCCCCACUGCCAUUGAAUAUUAACGCCCCCUUUGGAUAUUUCAGUUUUUGGGCGUAGUGCUGGGCCUCUUGCUCUUCUUUUUCUGAUAAUUUUUUCCCCGAAGCAUGACGAAGAAUAUAAUCACGAACAUUCGGGGAUGCUUCGGGGGCAAUGACACCGGUUUCUUCAACAAAAGUUGGCUUUGUUAUUUUUUCCGCCUCACUUUCCAAGGAUUUUAUCUUUGCAGGCUCUGAGGGCCCAGCUUCGGCUUCAGUCUCUUGCCCUGGAGCUCUAGAACCAGAAAUUUCAGUUGUUGUUUCAGGAAUGACAGCAGCCUUCUUCGGAGGUGUGCUUGAAGAUUUGAUCGUUUCCAGUACAUCUAGCACAUUAGCCAUUCUCUUUCUUUUUGGAGUCACUGCUGGCACUUUUUGAUUUUUUACUGCAUCAAUGUUUGCUGCGGGACUCAAAACUUCUGAUGUUUUGGAUCCCUCAGUUGCUUCUUUUACCUCUUCCAUUUUUUCUGUGGACGGCGCUUCGGCCUUCUCUUUCAUUUCUGAUAACAAAAUCUCCGAUUGUUCCAAUUCUAUCUUUGUUGGCACUUCGGCCGUUUCUGCGACUUCUGGCAGCAAGGUUGGUUCGGCUGGUUUUUCAGCUUCGGCGGCCGAAGGAGUUCCUCCGGUAAACUCAGGCACCGAAGCUGGUUCAAUAUAGCGCGGCCGAUGUGUGAGGACCUUUACCUUCUUUCUUUUCGGUUCUGGCUCGCUAGGAGCAAUUGCAGCUUCUUCCUUUGCAGAGGUUGUGCUUUUUCUCUUUUGCCUUCGAAUGGGAUAGCAAUAGUCAGGGUAGACAAACCCGAUUGCAUCAAAUACCCGAUUAAGCCUUUUCUUUUUUCGACCUCCGAAGGCUGCUGACAUUGCAGUGUCUUCGGCCUUCGAAUAAGCCCCAAGCAGUUCAUCGCUUAAAUUUUCAAUACUUUUUAACCAGUCAUCAUCUUGCUCAACGAAUUUAUCUCCAAAUUUAAAAGUGUACUUCAACCUGAUAAGUCCACCUUCGUCGGCCUCUUUUACGGUUUCUUGUGGCAUUUCCCAAUUCUCCGCGAGCGGCCAUACCCUGAAGGCAAUAUGCUCUUGUACUAAGUCUCUUGUCCCAAUGAAAGAACAGACUGCGCCGAAGGCCCUCUGGCAUUCUUCGGCAACUUCAUUCAUUUCAACCUUCGGCCUUCGAAGGCCGAAGCUUUGCCAAAUAGGGCGCAUAAUUAUACCUUUGAUAUCUUCUCGUAUUGUCAGAUCACUCUUCACAUAGAACCAUUCUGUCAUCCAGUCUCCGGGCCAUCUUUUCCGAAAGGUUGGCACGGGGCAGCUUGACCCGGACCGAGAAACAAAACUGUAGCAGCCAAAAUUGUUGUGAUAUUGUUCCUUACCCCAAGGUUUUGUUUCAUAUGAUAAUUCAUGUAUAUUGCAGAAGCUUUUUGCGUCAGGCUUCAGACCUUGGCUUCUCACGGCCCACACGAAGAUAUUCAGCUUUAUAAUUGCCUCGGGGGUAAGUUGAUGGAGAUAGAUUUCGAAUAUUUUCAGCACCUCCACAACGAAGCUGCUCAAAGGAAAUCGCAGUCCAGCUUUCAAAAAGCUUCGGUACACUACGACUUCAUUCUCUUCAGGGUGGGGGCAAGUUUUCUCCCCUUCGUCGGCCCUCACAAUGGACAGAUCCCGAAAAUACCUUCCUCUCAUGUUGAUAAGAUGAUUCUCUUUGAUAGUUGAUUUACCAUAAACUGAAUGGCUUGGUCGCCAUGGACGAUCUUCGGAGUCUUCACCACCACUGUCCACGUCAUAGCUGUCACUAUCACCAGUAUCCUCAGACAAACCUUCCAGAAUCUCCUUGGUGAUUUUUUCUGUGUUGGUCUUUGACAUCGCUAUAAGAAACCCCAAAUUUUUCUCUUCGUCGAGGCUCAGCUUCGUCUCAGCAGCAGCCUUCUUAUCUUCGGACAUCUUCGGAGACACUAAAAAACUAUUUUCAAAGCCGAAGCUUCAAAACUAAAAGCUUAACAAAUCGUAGUGCACAAGAGCUAAAAAUUGAGUGAGCGGGAGCAGUUGGCCAGAGAGCGUGUCAAAUGCGUUUGCGGUAUGGCCGUAUUUAUACGCCGAGUGCGUUGAAAAUUGAAAGACCCCGCUUGUCAGUGAAUAUUGCUAUUCUAGCAAAGGGAAGGUGUUUUUUCGGACCUUCGGCGUAAAGCCUUCGUCCAGGUCGCAAUCUAAAUUUAUUAUUUUGAACAAAUUAAUAUUGCGAGGGGCUACUGUUGGGGACCUUCGGCAUCCGAAGGUCCUCAAAAACAGGAUUUAAUAGUGUUUCUGGAGUAUAAUGUGUGAACAGGUAUCUUCGGACUCAAGUCAGGUAUUACAGUAGACCAGAAUAAUACGAAGGUUGGUGAACCACCGAAGGUGUAAGCAGGAAAGCUUCGGCGUGACGGCAGCAGAUGAAACCGACUUAAAGAUGAAAAGGCUAUUUAGACCUCGACAGAUUACUAUAGAAUUAUUAUCGAGUGUAAAGGGCAUUAAUGUAAUUUUGCAUGGGCUGCGUCCCGUGCCUAUAAAUAGGUGAACAGUAGCCCCGUACUGUUCACGCUGACUUGGCAUUCGCUUUUUGCGUCACGCUUGUAUUAUCAUCUCCUUCCAAUUGAAGGUACACUUGUAAUUCAAUGAUAUUUCUGUUUAUGUUUAAUGAUAAUACAUAACUGUUCAUGAUGCCAUUUAUAUUCCUUACAUUUCAUCCUUCGUCGUUAUGAAAUGAAUUUAUGAAGGUAUACUCUUCAUAACCUUCGUCCGAAAAGCAUUAUACCCCAAAGGAGAUAAUGUUUCGAAGGACGAAGGACUUUAACGAUUAACAUUUUCUAUGUUGCCUUGUUCUUAACUCAUAGCAUUUGAGAACAAGUCCCCAACACCCGCAUUACACAUUUAUACCUAAGGAUUGACUAGCUUUUGUUAUCCAUAUCCUUGUUUACCUAUCUGGGUUGGAUUAUUAUUGUUUAGCUUUAUGCUAUUGCUCAACUCUAAUCAAUGAACAUGAUGAGAUUAUCCAUGAUAUGCUGUUUUCCCUUCUCUUAUUAUGAUGUUGUACUUGUGGCCUUUAAGGGGGCUCGAGCGGUUUCUCGAGUGCCUCUCCGUAAGGACCUGUUCUAUGGAUGACCACCCGGGAAAACAGUGCAACCAUGAGGGUGGAAUGGGGUGCCCUUAGCUGAAUAAUUAGAGGAUCCGGGGUGUAGUUCGCUUCGCCGUCGUGCCGUCAAUGGGGCUCGGUGUAUGCGGCUCGCUCUGCCAAGGUUGAUUCGUCCCUUGGGGAGGAGUGCGGUACAUUUAGGAAACCUAACGGGCGGCUACAGCCCCGGGGAAUCUUUGUAAAGGCUACGUAGUGAGACCCUGCCUAUUCACCUUGGUAGUGUUUAAGGGUUUGAUCGGCCCGAGGCAAGAGGGAAUCACAGCUUGUGGGUAAAGUGCACAACCUCUGCAGAGUGUUUGAAAACUGAUAUAUCAGCCGUGCUCGCGGUUAUGAGCGGCCAAGGGAGCUCCAGUGAUUAGUGGUACUUGACCAGAGACAUUUUGGUUUACAGGUGGCAAUGAGAUUGAUGGUUCUGGUUAUGACUAUGGUACUGGUAAGUGGUAUUCUUUCCGUUUGGAAAGGGUACAUCGGGCUAAUAACUUGGGUUAAUGUUAAAACCUGGCUUUCUACUAGUAAAUAAUAAUCUGACCAACUAAAAGCAACUGCUAGACUUAUCCCCACAUAAGGCUAGUCCACUACAGCCAAACAGGAUACUUGCUGAGUAUGUUGAUGUGUACUCACCCUUGCUCUACACACCAAACCCCCCCCCCAUCUCCAGGUUGUCAGCACUGCUCAGGAGAAGAUGAAGCUGUGGAAGGAGACUUCCAGGAGUUCCAAGCCUACGACGAGUUCUAGGCGUGGGUUAGCGGCAACCCCCAGUCGGCUCCCUGUGAAGGCCGCGGUUAUCUACGUUUCGUUUUCGCACUUUGAUUUAUUGUAAGGACUAUAUGGACGUCUCAGACGUAUGAUGUAAUCAACUAUUAUUUCCCUUCUUAAUAUUAUUUUGAGCACUGUGUGAUGAUGUCCAUGUUAUGUAACUGCUGUGUACGUGAAUUACUGAUCCUGGCACGUACAUGGUUCACAUUCGGUUUGCCUUCUAAAACCGUGUGUGACAGAAACAAGCACCUUGGGUACCCAAACACAAGUCUUUGACCCCUUGUGUUUGCCCCCAACAUAUUUGGCAACUACUUUGCCUGAUUUGUUAGUAAGCACAUAAGAUGCAUCAAAUGUUUUAAAUGAAAUACUAGGUUCAUUUGAUGCAAAAGGAGUUUUCUUCUUAGGCAAUUUAGCACGGGUUGAUUGCCUAGAACUAGAUGCCUCACUCUUAUACAUGAAAGCAUGAUGAGAGCCAGAGUGAGACUUCCUAGAGUGAAUUCUCCUAAUUUUGUGCUCGGGAUAACCGCCAGGGUAUAAAAUGUAACCCUCGUUAUCUUGAGCCAUGGGAGCUUUGCCCUUAACAAAGUUUGACAAUCUUUUAGGAGGGGCAUUAAGCUUGACAUUGUCUCCCUUUUGGAAGCCAAUGCCAUCCUUAAUGCCUGGGCGUCUCCCACUAUAAAGCAUACUACGAGCAAAUUUAAAAUUUUCAUUUUCUAAUUCAUGUUCGGCAAUUUUAGCAUCUAAUUUUGCUAUAUGAUCAUUUUGUUGUUUAAUCAUGGCCAUGUGAUCAUGAAUAGCAUCAAUGUUAACAUCUCUACAUGUAGUGCAAAUAGUAACAUGCUCAACGGUAGAUGUAGAGGGUUUGCAAGUUUUUAACUCAACAAUCUUAGCAUGUAAAAUAUCAUUUUCAUCUCUAAGAUUGAAAAUGGAAACAUUGCAAACAUCUAAGUCUUUAGCCUUAGUAAUUAAUUUUUCAUUCUCAAUUUUAAGGCAAGCAAGAGAGGCAUUCAAUUUUUCAAUCUUAGCAAUAGAACUAGCAUUAUCAUUUCUAAGAUUGUCAAUUGAAUCAUCACAAACAUUUGAUUUCUCAACCUUAGCAAUUAAUUUGGCAUUUUCAUUUCUAAGGUUGGAAAUAACAUCAUGGCAAGUGCUUAGCUCACUAGAUAACUUUUCACAUUUUUCUACCUCUAGAGCAUAAGCAUUUUUAACCUUAACAUGCUUUUUGUUUUCUUUAAUUAGGAAGUCCUCUUGGCUAUCCAAGAGUUCAUCCCUCUCAUGAAUGGCACUAAUUAAUUCAUUCAAUUUCUCUUUUUGUUGCAUGUUAAGAUUGGCAAAAAGAGUAAGCAAGUUAUCCUCAUCAUCACUAGAAUUUUCCUCAUCACUUGAGGUUGCAUACUUAGUGGAGGAUCUUGAUUUUACCUUCUUUUUCUUGCCGUCCUUUGCCAUGAGGCACUUGUGGCCGACGUUGGGGAAUAGAAGUCCCUUGUUGACGGUGAUGUUUGCGGCGUCCUCGUCGAAGGAGGAGUCGGUGGAGCUCUCGUCGGAGUCCCACUCCCGGCAAACAUGGGCAUCGCCGCCCUUCUUCUUGUAGUACCUCUUCUUUUCUCUUCUCUUUCCCUUCUUGUCGUCGCCCCUGUCACUAUCACUAGAUAAUGGACAUUUAGUAAUGAAAUGACUGGGCUUACCACACUUGUAGCACACCUUCUUGGAACGGGGCUUGUAAUUUCUCCCCUUCCUUUGCUUGAGGAUUUGGUGAAAGCUUUUAAUGAUUAAAGCCAUCUCCUAGUUGUCGAGCUUUGAGGUGUUGAUGGGAAGCCUACUUGGUGUAGACUCUUCCUUCUUCUCCUCCGUCGCUUUGAAGGCGACGGGUUGCACCUCGGGUGUGGAGGUGGUGCCUCGCUCGAUGAUUUGUUUGGAGCCUUUGAUCAUUAGUUCAAAGCUCACAAACUUUCCUAUCACUUCCUCGGGAGACAUUAGUUUAUAUCUUGGAUCACCACGAAUUAAUUGUACUUGAGUAGGGUUAAGAAAAACAAGUGAUCUAAGAAUAACCUUGACCAUUUCAUGGUCAUCCCAAUAUUUGGUGCUCCCGAGGUUGCGCACUUGGUUCACCAAGGUCUUGAGCCGGUUGUACAUCGCUUGUGGCUCCUCUCCUUGGUGAAGCAUGAAGCGACCGAGUUCCCCCUCGAUCGUUUCCCGCUUGGUGAUCUUGGUCACCUCGUCUCCUUCGUGCGCGGUCUUGAGCACGUCCCAAAUCUCCUUUGCACUCUUCAACCCUUGCACCUUAUUAUACUCCUCUCGACUUAGAGAGGCGAGGAGUAUAGUAGUGGCUUGGGAGUUGAUGUGUUUGAUUUGUUCAACCUCCUUCGAAUCAUAAUCCUUGUCCCCUUUGUUUGGUACCUGCGCUCCAUAUUCAACAAUAUCCCAUAUGCUUUUGUGGAGUGAGGUUAGGUGAUGCCUCAUUUUAUCACUCCACAUAGAAUAAUCUUCACCUUCAAGCAUAGGUGGUUUGCCUAAUGGGACGGAAAGUAAUGGAGUGCAUUUUGAAAUACGAGGAUAGCGAAGGGGCAUCUUACUAUACUUCUUGCGCUCAUGGCGCUUAGAAGUGGCGGAUGCCGAUUCCGAGCCGGAGGUGGAGGGUGACGAAGAGUCGGUCUCGUAGUAGACCACCUUCUUCAUCUUCUUCUUCUUGUCACCCUUCCAUUGGGACUUGAUGGAGGAAGAGGAUUCCUCCUUGUACUUGUGUGCGGACUCCCUUGAGUGUGUUCUCCCCGAGCUUGCGGACUUGUUGCCGGUCCCGAUCUCUCUCAUGGCGGAUGCUCCCGACAUCACUUCGAGCGGUUAGGCUCUAAUGAAGUAUCGGGCUCUGAUACCAAUUGAAAGUUGCCUAGAGGGGGGGGGGUGAAUAGGCAAAUCUGAAAUUUAUAAACUUAAGCACACACUACACGCCGGGGUUAGCGUUAGAAAUAUAAACGAGUCCAAAAGAGAGGGCGAAAACAAAUCACAAGCGAAUAAUAGCGGAUGACACGAUGAUUUGUUUUACCGAGGUUCGGUUAUUGCAAACCUACUCCCCGUUGAGGUGGUCACAAAGACCGGGCCUCUUUCAACCCUUUCCUUCUCUCAAACGGUCACUUAGACCGAGUGAGCUUCUCUUCUCAAUCAAACGGGACACUAAGUCCCUACAAGGACCACCACAUAAUUGGUGUCUCUUGUCUUGGUUACAAUUGAGUUGGAAUCAAGAAAGAAGGAAGAAGAAAAGCAAUCCAAGCGCAAGAGCUCAAAUGAACACAAAUGUCACUCUCUCUAGUCACUAUUUGAUUGGAAUGAACUUUGGACUUGGGAGAGGAUUUGAUCUCUUGUUUGUGUCUUGUAUUGAAUGCUAUAGCUCUUGUAAGAGGUGUGAAGGCUGAAAACUUGGAUGCAAUGAAUGGUCGGUGGUUGGGGGUAUUUAUAGCCCCAACCACCAAAGGAGCCAUUGGUGGAGGCUGCUAUCGCAUGGCACACCGGACAGUCCGGUGCGCCACCGGACACUGUCCGGUGCGCCAGCCACAUCACCCGGCCGUUAGGGUUUGACCGUUGGAGCUUCUGACUUCUGGGCCACCAGACAGUCCGGUGGUGCACCGGACAGGUCCUGUAGGCUGUCCGGUGCGCCUUCUGGCUCUGCUCUGACUUCUGCACGCACUGUAGCGCAUUAACUGCUCAUUGCAGACGACCGUUGGCGCUGUGUAGCCGUUACUCUGCUGGCACACCGGACAGUCCGGUGCUACACCGGACAGUUCGGUGAAUUAUAGUGGAGCGACUCCUAGAAUUCCCGAAGGUGGCAAGUUCGGAGUCGGGUUCCCUAGUGCACUGGACACUGUCCGGUGGUGCACACUUCGGUUGUCUUUUGCUCUUUUAAUUUGAACCCUUUCUUGGUUUUUUGUUGUGAACCUUUGGCACCUGUAGAACUUAUAAUCUAGAGCAAACUAGUUAGUCCAAUUAUUUAUGUUGGACAAUUCAACCACCAAAAUCAAUUAGGAAAAGGUGUAAGCCUAUUUCCCUUUCAGUUACCCGAAGGAAAACUCAAGUUUUACAAGAUACAGUGGAACCAACACACGGAAGAUGAAGCUACUUGGGAAGCUCAAGACUUUUUAGAUAAGAAUUUCCCAGGCUUUUUAGCUUCGUGUAAAUUGUAGGAUGUGUACAUUUGUUGUAAUAGAGGAAUGAACCCCAUACCACCCCUACCUUGUACCAAAAAUAAGGAAAUUAAAAUAUGACACAUUUCCUUUUCCAUUACUUGCCCUAGGACUUUUAAUCUCGGGACGAGAUUCUUUUAUGGGGGGAAGGAUGUAACACCCCUGGUGUUACUGUCACUAAAACUAGAGCAUAACAUCAUAAGCAUUGGCAUAUCAUGUGUUUGUCACACCUAGAAUGCAUUCACUAGGCAAAAAUCUCAAAUAAGUUGUAUUGAUGUGACAUUUCAUGGGUGAAACCCUAGGGUACAAUACUUAACCCUAGACUGGGCUUAAAAGAGUAACCAAAGUCUAACUAAGAGAAAACUUCAAAACUUAGUUGGAAUAACCAUAAAAUGUCACCAUGGAUGGACUUAAGUAGCAUCCAAACCCUAGAAGUACCAAAAAUCCUAAAUAAACCCCUAGAAAACCCUGGACUGAAACCCUAAGGGGUUAUAUGCAAAAUGUGCACACUUUUGGACCUAAGUGCAAAAAUCAUGGAAAUAGGGUACCUCAUGUCACAUGGUUCACAUGUUUGAGGAUUUACAAGCUAAAAGUGUGAAUUGGGCUUAUUUGCAAAAAGCCAUUCAAUUCCUUUUAUAAGGCUAAGUCUGAAUUUCAGUGAAUGGGAUCAUGUUUGAAGCCCUGUAAUUUCAAAACUAUAAGGAUUUUGCCCUAGGUCAGCACAUCGAAUUUGUAGAGCUAUGUAAGGAGAACAACUUUGCUAUAGGGGUUAAGCCUUGGUCACAUGAAAAAUUUGGAGUAAAAUGAGCCCAAAGUCGGGCUGUCAGACUGCCCUUGGUCUGAAUUCAGACUAAUAGUGAGAUUGGGCAAUCUUUGGACUGGAAUUCGACCAUGAUCUAGUGAGUGUUUGGCUAUGUUUGCUAUAGCAAGAUUGUAGCUGGAUCAUCGGGCAACAACUUUGUUACAGGCAGAUUAGCAAGUUGUUAUGAAAAGAUUUGAGAUCUAGGCCCUACAAAUUGGGCUGUCAGGCGCACUGAAUAGGGAUUUUCAUUGUACAGUGACUGAAACAGAUCACAGAUUCACCCCCCUCGCCGCCGGUGAUCUUGCGCCCAGAUCCACGCCGGCGUCGUGAUUCAUGCCCAACCAAACACAGAUAGCGCUCCUCGGUAAGAAAUAUCGCGCUGGAGAUGAACUCCGGCCACUGUUCUCACCGGCCGUCGUGUACCACCAUGGUCAAUCGCGGUGGCAUCACCGGCGCUCGCCGUUAUCUGGCCAGGCUUCGUGCCUCAACGCUUUACCACGUCGCGGUGAGUCACCAUAAACCGCCCCAUAGCCUUGGCUCGUCGCCGGUGGGUUUGCCACGGUGAAGGCCACGAAUCACCGCGCCAGUGACUCAGUUCCCCUUUCGACCGCCAGCGCAAUUCGUCCAAAUUGAACACUGUUGGGGCGAAGGCAAAGACGCCACCCUUCGCUCGAGGUCUUCGCUGCAGCCGCCGGUCUGACAGAGACAAGACGGGCAGGGACACCCUUCGCUGGAUUCGGCACAUUGACGAAGGCCUGCGGCGACGUCUUCCCGCGACGCGGCCUCGUUCAGUCCCAAGGCCCACGUGCCAUCUGGCCCAUUGUAACGGGCCCCGCGUGGCCGCCUCUGUAUUACGGGCCUAACUUGUAAAGGCAUACUUGUAAUUACAGCUUGUAACCCUGCUUUAUGGGAAUAUUCUGGGGAUAAACUAGGUGUCUGAGGGCACAUGCGUCCUUAACACAAGGCGUUGGGCACUCAGAUACCUAUAAAUACCCCCGCACAGUGCCCGUGAAAGGCUAGAUUAACAAAGCUAUUGCCCCCGAGCACGUAACCCUGUUGUCACCACUGUUCACCCUUGUUGGCCUUCUUGCUGCUGAGAGCAAGUUCCAACAUUUGGCGCCCACCGUUCGUGCUACGACCAAACCACCCGCGAUGGCACCCAAGAGAGCUAACCCGAAAGCUGACGAGGCUGCGAAGGCAGCACUGCUUGUCGCAAGGAAGGGCAAGGCCCUCGCCCUCACCCAAUCCACCCACAAAGAGCUCACCGAAGACAAUAUUCCCCGCACCUGCGAAGACGACACCCUCCGCACCUGCGGACCCGAAGGACAAUCGCAGCCGCCCCCAGGCUUCGCCCCACUGGAGGGCGCGGAUCUCACCGAGGACGGCGAGGUCCUCGGCGUCUCAACAGAAGAACAGCUACAGCUGCGCGCCUUGCGCCUCAAGAACCGCAACCUUCUGAGGCAGAAAGAGAUACUGGAGGCCAAGCGCCAGCGUGUGUCCGCACUAGCCAAGGUGCGGCAAAUGAUACGCGACGAGGAGUAGAAGGCCCAAGACCUCGAGCGCGAGAUCGCGCUGAUGCAGCGCGAAGGCCACCUCGGUCCACAGCAAGAGCCACCCCUCCAGCAGCGCGCACAACCGGAGGACACGCGCGAAGGCCACCUCGGCCUGCAGCAUGGCCCACCCCCGCAACACCGGGCGCAGCCGGAGAACCCGCGUUUCCCCCAGCAAGACUACGCCUUCCAGCACAGCGCGCCAUUCCAAGGGGUCAAUUACCUCGACGAGCGAAGUCCCCUGGCGCCACACCUGCAAGUGACACCUUGGCCAGCAAACUUCCGAGCAGGGGCGUAUCCCAAGUACAACGGCAGCACCGACCCGGCACAGUAUAUAAUGAGUUAUCAAGUCGCCGUUGCAUCCGCCGGAGGGGACGACGCCACAAUGGCGAAGUCUUUCAUCAUCGCUCUAGAGGGCCCAGCACUCACCUGGUUCACCAGAUUGCCUCCGCUGUCCAUUGAUUCGUGGAGAAGUCUCAGGGACAAGUUCCUUCUCAACUUCCAAGGGUACCGUCCAGACACCGACGCUUUGGCCGAGCUCUCGCUUUGCAAACAGCUGGAAAAGGAGACUCUGCGGGAGUAUUACCGAAAAUUUUUAACGCUCAAAUCACAACUGCCCUCCGUCGAUGAUCAAAUUGCUAUCCACUACGCCAUCAGUGGCCUUCGGGCUGGCGUCCUCUACAGCCACUGUAUCAGAGAUCCACCCAGGAACCUCCAGGAGCUAUAUCAUCUCUUUGAAAAAUAUGCCAAAUCCGAAGAGCUCCACCAGCGCAAGGUUGAGUCACAGCGGAAGCCCAAAGAUGCCCCGCAGUCCAGCCGCACGUGGACGAGGACUCCGCAGCUAGACUCCGGUCGAGAUGGCCGCAGUCAACAGCAAGUGCACAACAUCGCCAACCAGCAGCCUGCUGCUGACCCCCCUCGUCGCCAGGAAUAUCCCCCCAGGGCCGCGGAAAUGGAGCUCGUGGCAGGGGCCGAGGGCGAGCGCAGCCGCCGCGCCGGUUCUACUGCCUUUUCCACGGCGAAGACUGCGUCCACCAAACCAAAGACUGCCCCGAGACGAAGGCCACCAGAGACAGAAUGGCGCGGGCGCAGCCAGCCGACAAUCCCAGAAUUGUCGCGCAUAAUUACCAGCCACCCCCUCCACCAUAUAUCCACGCUCCCGCUCUGCAUCCACCGCACCACGCUUACCAACACCAUCAGGAAGUACAAAUCGUACCUCCUCCACCCCCACCACCACACCAGCAACACCAAAACAUCCCCCAUGCCCCAAAGCAGGAAGACUUCGCCGAUCAACCAUAUCGCGGAGUCAUUCACAUGAUAACAGGGGGGUCCAGCACUGACUUCGACACCAAGCGGCAGAAGCGGGACCACUACCGCAGCAUCAACCAUGUCGCGGUCACUGGCCCAGUCGUGCAGACGAAGUGGUCCCACAUACCGCUAACCUUCGAUGCACGAGACGUCGAUCUGCGCAGCGCCCCCCACAUUGACGCUAUGGUCAUCAAUUGCAGCGUGGCAGGCUGGGACUUACACAAAGUCCUAGUCGACAACGGUAGUCAGGCGGACAUCAUCUUCCUGCACGCCUUCGACCGCAUGGGUAUAAGCCACAGCUUGCUGAAGCCUUCGGACAACCCUUUGUAUGGUUUCGGCGGCAAGGGCACCUUUCCAGUUGGCAAGAUAGAGUUGCCCCUCUCCUUCGGUGUAGCACCCAAUGCCCGAAGUGAGCAAGUAACCUUCGACAUUGUCGACAUGGUAUAUCCAUACAACACCAUCAUGGGCCGGGGCUCCAUCAAUAAGUUCGAAGCUGCCAUCCACGGGUUGUACCUAUGUAUGAAGAUACCAGGCCCGCUAGGUGCCAUCACAAUCUACGGCAACCAGCAGACGGCGCGCAACAUAGAGCGGGACUUCGUGCCUGGUCAGAGGAACGUACACUGUCUCACGACCCAGCGCGAGGUCCCUGCGCCGACCAGCCCAACCGACAAGCAGCACGACAAGGCACAGUUGCAGUGCCAAGACGGGACCAAGACUGUCCCCCUCAAUCAGGCCACGCCCAAGCAGACAGUCACUAUCAGCGAAGACCUCACUUCACUUGAAGAAGAGAAACUUCUCUGCUGCCUGGCCAAGAAUAAAGAUGUCUUCGCCUGGUCCGCCCUCGAUCUGGUCGGAGUCAGCCGAUCCAUAAUUGAGCACAGCUUGGGAAUUGACCCUUCGGUGCGACCCAAAAAGCAGAGGCUUCGCAAGAUGUCAGACGAAAAGACAGAGGCCGCCAAGGCGGAGGUGCACCGCCUCCUGGAGGCUAAAUUCAUCGAGCCAGUGGCUUACCCCACGUGGCUCUCCAAUGUUGUGAUGGUGCAGAAAAAAAGCGGGAAAUGGCGCAUGUGCAUAGACUUCACCAGUCUCAAUAAGGCCUGCCCAAAGAACAAUUUCCCGUUGCCGCGGAUCGACAAAAUAGUCGAUAGCGCGGCCGGAUGCGAGGUCAUGUCCCUCCUCGACUGCUUCUCCGGCUAUCACCAGAUAUACAUGAAGGAGGAAGACAAGGCUAGCACCAGCUUUAUAACACCCUUCGACACUUAUUGCUUUGUCAGAAUGCCGGAGGGUCUCAAAAAUGUCGGGUCCACCUUCUCCAGACUCACCAAAACAGUACUCGAAGGGCAGGUCAUCAGAAAUAUAUUUACAUAUGUGGACGACAUCGUCGUCGCCAGCAAGAAUAAGGAGGACCAUCUCGCCGACCUGGCAGAGACAUUCGUGAACAUGCGAGAUGCACGACUCCGCCUAAACCCGGAAAAGUGCGUCUUCGGUGUUCGCCAGGGCAAGAUAUUGGGCUACCUGGUGUCCCGCCGCGGCAUCGAGGCCAACCCAACCAAGAUCCAGGCCAUCGUCGAUAUGUCGCCUCCGCAGUCCGCCAGGGAUGUCCAGCGCCUGACAGGCAGGUUGGCCGCUCUCAACAGAUUCAUCUCCAGGUCCGCCGAGCGAAGCCUCCCCUUCCUCAAAACACUCCGCGGCGCGAAGGACUUCGCCUGGGGACCGGAGCAAGCAGCGGCCUUCGCCUCACUAAAACAGUACCUGUCGGAGCUGGCCAUCCUCACAAGCCCCGACUCCUCGCUCCCUUUAUUGCUCUAUGUCGCGGCUUCGCCGCACGCGGUCAGCGCAGCACUGGUACAGGAGCAGACAGUCGAGGGCGCAGUCAGACAGUGCCCUGUUUACUAUGUCUCCGAAGUCCUGACACCGUCCAAAUGCAACAUGACAGAGCUGGAGAAGAUCGCCUACGCAGUUGUUAUGUCCUCGCGCAAGCUGCGCCAUUACUUUGAAGCAUUCAAGGUCCGAGUCACCUCAGACAGGGGGCUCGGCGAACUAUUCAGAAACCCGGAGGCAUCAGUGAGGAUUGCCAAGUGGGCAGCCGAACUCUCCGGCUACCACAUCAGCUUCGAGCCCAGGACAGCUAUCAAGUCGCAAGUCCUGGCAGACUUCGUCGUCGACUGGACUGGGCCAGCAACACAGCCGGACCCGUCCACAGAAAAGGUCUGGACUAUCCAUUGCGACAGUGCAUGGUGUCAUGCGGGGGCAGGCGUCGCUGCAGUCGUCACCUCACCAGCCGGAGUCAAACACAGAUAUGCAGCAUGCCUCAGCUUCUCUCUGGAAUCCGACAAAUGUACAAACAACAUAGCAGAGUAUGAAGCGGUUAUCCUCGGCCUCCGCAAGCUAAGGGCCCUCGGAGUCACCACAUGUAUCAUCAAAACAGACUCCAAGAUAGUUGCCGGCCAGGUCGAGAAAGACUAUGCAGCAAAAGACCCCGCGCUCAUGCAAUACCUCGCGGCUAUCCGAAGUCUCGAGAGACAGUUCAAGGGAUUCACCCUGCAGCAUGUGGACAGGGCCAAGAACGAGGAGGCCGAUGCAUUAGCCAAGGCCGCCGCCAGGGGCGAACCCCUGCCCUCCGACGUAUUCUUUCACACGAUCGGCACGCCAGCCGUCCGGAGCCCCGAAGGGCUCCAAAUAACUAAUGAUAGCGAGGGCCACCGUAUAGUCAACCUAAUCAUGACCGAAGACUGGUGGGCACCAAUAACCCUGUUCCUACAGGGGUACUAUCAUCCAGCCGACGUCAGUGAGGCAAAGCGCCUCAGACAUCGAAGCCGGGACUUCGCACUGAUCGAGGGCCAAUUAUACAAGAAAGGGGUCAGUCAGCCAAUGCUCAAAUGCGUCACCGAAACCGAAGGCAUGCAAAUCCUACGCGAGGUCCACAGUGGCACGUGCGGCUCGCACGCGGGGCCAAGGGCCCUGGCUGCAAAGGUGAUCCGACAAGGGUUUUACUGGCCUGCAAUGAUCUGCGCCGCAAAUCGAGUCACAAGGUCCUGCGAAGCCUGCCAGAAGUUCUCUCCUCGGUCAGGCAACCCCUCGCAAUAUACAAAGCUGAUUGCCCAUACAUGGCCUCUCCAGCGCUGGGGCCUGGACAUUGUCGGGCCCCUGCCCACCGCUCAGGGGAACCUCAAGUUCGCCUUCGUAGCCGUCGAAUACUUCACCAAAUGGAUUGAAGCGAGGGCUGUUUCCACAAUCACAUCCAAGACUGCCCAAAAAUUCUUCUGGCAGAACGUUGUUUGCCGCUUCGGAGUACCGUCCGAGCUAACAGUUGACAACGGCAAGCAGUUCGACAGUCAAGAUUUCAAGGAUUUUUGCUUCUCCAUCGGCACCAAGCUUGCCUUCGCUUCAGUCUAUCAUCCGCAGUCCAACGGGGUCGUGGAGCGUGCCAACGGGAAAAUCUUCACAGCUGUCAAGAAGAUGCUCCUCGAUAAAAAAAAGGCAGAUGGACCGAUUUAUUACCGGAGGCAGUCUGGGCGUUAAACACAACUGAGUGCAGGGCAACCGGGUUCACUCCUUUCCGCCUUCUAUACGGAUCGGAGGCAAUGACCCCCCAAGAAAUAAAGCAUGGGUCCCCGCGUACAGUUCCGUCAGCCGUCCCCGACGUGGACGAGCCAACUUCAAAAGAUCUCAUUGACGGAGACCGGGUCUUCACCCUACAGGCCCUAAACAAAUACCAAGCCCAGACCAAAGCAUGGCGCGACCACGCAGUCAUCCCGAGGGAGUUCAGCGAGGGGGACCUCGUACUCGUCCGAACAGCUCGGACGGAGUCCAAGGGCAAGUUGGAGCCCAAGUGGGAGGGCCCCUUCAUAGUCAAGACAAAAGCUUCCCCCAGCGCUUACAGGCUCACAACGCCAAACGGCGAGGACCUGGAGCACUCCUGGAACAUCGAUAACCUUCGCAAAUUUUUUGUUUGACCCAUUUAGGGCUGAUUUCGCCCUUGUAAUUCGCCGCAAUCAAACUUAUACCGGCCCGCACUCUUUUCCUCCCGGGGGGUGAGGUUUUUAACGAGGCGGAGCCAUGUAAUAUAUGUGAGAAAAAUCCCCCGCAAAAGCAUGUGUCGAAAAAAGACCGCGACAACGGUCUUCGGCAUUCGACCAAUUCGAAGUCACCGCGAGGCUAAGCGUUAGCCACCCUCGCGUGCGACAAGUCCGCGCAGAAGUCGCCCAAGGGUGCAGCCGGACUAAGCACAACAAGUGCGCGAAAAUCCGAAGUCUAUCGCGAAGACUAUCCGCGCAGAAGUCGCCCAAGGGUGCAGCCGGACUAAGCACAACAAGUGCGCGAAAAUCCGAAGUCUAUCGCGAAGACUAUCCGUGCAGAAGUCGCCUAAGGGUGCAGCCGGACUAAGCACAACAAGUGCGCGAAAAUCCGAAGUCUAUCGCGAAGACUAUCCGCGCAGAAGUCGCCCAAGGGUGCAGCCGGACUAAGCACAACAAGUGCGCGAAAAUCCGAAGUCUAUCGCGAAGACUAUCCGCGCAGAAGUCGCCCAAGGGUGCAGCCGGACUAAGCACAACAAGUGCGCGAAAAUCCAAAGUCUAUCGCGAAGACUAUCCGCGCAGAAGUCGCCUAAGGGUGCAGUCGGACUAAGCACAACAAGUGCGCAAAAAUCCGACGCCUAUCGCGAAGACUCCACGCAGAAGUCGCCUAAGGGCGCAGCCGGACUAGCACAAGUGCGAAAAAAUCCGAAGUCUAUCGCAAAGACCCCGCGCAAGAGCCGCCCAAGGGCGCAGCCGACCUAGUACAACGAAAGCAGAAACGACAGCAAGACCAACUGUAAUCACACCGGCACAGCAUAAUCAACCAUACCAGACAAAGUACACAGCGCCCUCGCAGGCGCAAGCGCGCGAGGGCACUCAACUCCAUUUUACAAAACCUUACACAUACACAAGCGAGGGCGCCACGCUCUACAUCGGCUCAACCUUAGGAAUAAUUCCCAUCUCCCUAUAAUUAAAUAACAUUAUCCUAAGUUCCUCACCCGCAAAAAGACUUCGCAGCUCCCCUUCCCCUGCACCCGCGGCGGCCGGCAAAGACAGCAGCUCCUGCCGACCAGCCCUACUCACGCGAAGCCGAGCCCCUUCCUCCGCGCUAACCCUACGCUUUGCAACCGCCCUUCGUCGUCGGAGCCCGGUGCUAGGGCCUGGCACGUCUGGCGCGUCCGCGGCGUUUGGCACAGCCUCCGCCGCAGCCUCCGCCGCAGCCACGUCCAAGGCCGCAAAAUAAUCCAAGUCCUCCUCCGACGACUCCUCAGUCCACUCAACCGAGCUCCCAGAGUCAGUAAAAUCAAAAAACUCAGAUACAGACCCACCAUAUUCAUUUCCAUCUUCCGCGGUCGAAGCCGCCAAAAACUCAGUAGUAGCGGUUGCGUGCGCAGGCCCAAAAUCUUGAACCUGCGCAGCAACCAAAAUUCAGUACAACAUCCAAAAAUUCCCCAACCCUAAUCACCCACUACGCCACCUGCGAAGGCCCUGCCGCCACGGGAGCCUCCGCCGCAGCCUCCGCCGCGGCCUCCGCCGCUCCCUCCGCCCCCACCGCCACGGGAUCUUCAGUGCUCGGCACAGCAGCUGCGGGGGCAUCGGGCGCGCCUUCGGCCACCUUUGGGGGCAGGUCUUCGCCGGCCGCAGCAGAUGUAAGGGCGCCUGGUGCGUUUUCCGCAGUCUCCGGGGUCGGUCCCGGGGCGACUCCAGUCGCGGCCUCCGCAGGGGUCGUCUCCGGGUCAGGCAACGCGCUGUUCAGCGCCCCGAAGUCCUCCACCCGCUCGCCGCGCUCCGCCUAAGACAAAACGCACAAAAAUUCAGCAAACACACGCACAGACCGCAUCCAGCAAGUGCCGAACAAACGACAACGUUACCUGAGCCCUCGCAGCCUCGGCCCGCGCCCUGACCACCUCACGACCGUACGAACCCCACAUCCGGUCAUAGAGGGCCCCGGCGGAUUCCUUCACCACGGGGUCUUCGACCUCAAAGAUAUCUCGCCCAAAAUCCUCAUCUGCCUGGUCGAGGGCCUCAAAGUGCCGGCACCCUUCGCGAGAGAGUGCGUUCAUCGCCGCCUCGCAGGUGACCAGGGAGGUGAACGACAUUAACCCCGCCAAGACAGUGGGGAGCUCCUGCAGUUCCUCCUGCACCCAUUCCAGACAGCGAAGCCCGGCCUCUCGCUCUGGCACCUUGAAGUCGUCGGUCCGCACACCCAGCUCGCGAUAGGCAGUCAUGAGCUGCGUGCGCGUCCGUUCGGCCUCCGCCCGCAUCGCGGCCUCGGCCCCCUCCACGCGGCCCUCCAGGGCAGUAAGCCGCCCCUGCAGCUCUCCGGCGAGCUCCUUGGCGAUAUUGCCUUCCGCCCGCGCCAGCCUGGCCUCCGCCUGCGCAGCCUGCUCUUUGGCGAUGGCUUCGUUGGCCUCCCUCCUCUCCCCCGCCAGCUGGCGCCGGAGGUCAGCCUUCUCCUUCUCCAGGGCGGCCACCUUGUCCGCCAGUUUGCGGCACUUGCUGUCGGAGGCCAACUUCUCACGGACAGCGUCAGCAUGUUGCGUCCGAAGUCUCUCGACUUCGGCAGACAAAGCUGCCGUAAGGGCCCCCGACGCAGUGCGGCUGGUGAAGUCAGCCACCUGCAGAGCACACGUAAGGCCGUUGCUUAAAAAAAAAAAUAAUAGCUCAGCGGACCUGACUCAGCGCCUCCGUCGCCUGACUCAGCGCCUCCGUCACUCCUUUCAGCCGGCGGGUCGCCACGCCCGCCUCGUCCCUGACCAGCGCGAGGGCCGACACCUCGCCUCCGACGCCAAGGGUCUCACCCCUUGCCUUCGGCGCUAGCGCAGCUGUCACGAUCGCCGCGCCAGGCGCAGCAAGAGCAAGCUGGCCCUCGUCCGACCCUGCAACGCAUCAACAGAUUAAAUAUAUAUAUAUAUAUAUAUAUAUAUAGACUUACCCCCAAGAUAAUCAUCCACAUUAAUCUCGGUGCCGAAGUCGGCAACGCGUUUGCCCGGCAGUGGCAACGUCCGAGCCGCCUUCGCAGCCUCCGCCACUCCGCUGGCCGGCGGCACCACCUUCGUCAGUCUGGGGCCUCCGGCGCCCACCGUUGCCUCCGGCGCCUUGCUAGGUGCAGAGGCGCCCGCCUUCGCCGGCAGCGACGGUUUGCCUCCACCGGAGGCCGCAGCCUUCGCCGGUCCCCGCUGCCUCUUCGGCCGAGCUUCAUGAACCCUCACAGUCGCCUGGCGUUUUUGCGCCGCCCCUUGGCGAUCCUUGUCCAUCACUGCCCAAACAACAUGACCGAUAUUUCGCCCGUAAGGAAAAACUCUCCACUGAUGAACCAUACGAGAUGUAAAACAGUCCUCCUCAGCCGCGCAGGGGAUAGGAACAUUUCUAGGCCAGCAACCCCCGGUAACCCUCAGCAUCCGAGCCGAAGACUCCCGGAGCUCGGGCGAAGACAUCCUUUCCCCCGGGGCCGCACACGUCCUCAUUAACUCUCUAGCAAAACUAUCAGACACCCCAAGUCCUCCCAUCGCAGUACCUAAUUUUCUCUUUUUCGAGGAGGCGGCGGCCACCAGCGCAGGGUCGCCUCCAGUCUCCACCGCCGGUUUCUUCCCACGGCGGUCCGCUUCGUCUUGACCAGGGUAGCCGCCGUACGACAAUUGAUUUAAUUCGAAGACCCUGUUCAAACGUUCAUUUGACCCGCGGAUAUCAAAGCUGUGCUGGCCUUCCAUCCUUGGCACGUAACGCCCCACGAGCCGCACCGCCAAGUCCUCCGCAUCACGCACAAAGGCGGCCGGGUCACGGUUUCGCAAAUUCAGUGCGAAGGCAGGACUUCACACCUCCCUUCCUCCGUGAAAAGGCAUCUGGCGAGGGCAUACUUCGCCCAGCGCCCAGCCGUGCGCCAAGGGCCAGACCCCGUACGCCACGAACUCUUCAACUAAAUCACGACCGCUGCUCUGACCGGCGGCGCACCGAAAGGCCCCUUCGUCUGCAUCCUCUUCUGCCACUUCAAAAGGCGGAUACGCAGAGUAAUAGUGAGAGCACAUUUCAGACACGGGGAGUCCUUCAUGGCCUUCGACAGUAGCCUCAGCAACGUAAAACCAAAAUUCAUUCCAAUUGCCCCACUUGUUGCGGGCGCACGGAACCAACUCCACUACUGGCAUUGUGGUCUUGCCGGUCUUCGGCGUGAAUGUGCAUGACCCGAACUGGGCAACUCCGUCCUCAACCAUCCUUUUCGGCCAAUGCAAACAAUAAUUCUUCGCAAAAACUUCAACUGACGGCUGUCCGCCGUACGAAGUCGUCGCCCAGACAUACUUCGCCAGCGCCACUAUGGCGUUCGGUGUCAGCUGAUGUAUUUGAACGCUGAAUCUACGCAGGACUUCGCCAACAAACCGGUGCGCAGGCAAGCGGAGUCCGGCGACGAAGAACGCCUCGAAAACAACCAACUCGCCCUCCGGCUCGGGGACUUCCUCCGUCCCCGGAGCACGAGCGACUCCGCCGCCAAAGUAGCCCAACCGCUGCAUAUCUUCAAUGCGGGCUGACGUCAUCCGUGACACACCAAAAUCAACAGAGUCGCCGGCGCGCAACUCCUCCACCAUCACGCUACUCAACGUCUCCUCAGACGAGGCGGCGGUCGGCGGCAUGGCGUCGGCGGAAGAAGAAGAGGAUGGCAUUGCUACGUACCGUCGGCGGCGGCGGGCGGUCUGCUUCACUCGAGCCAGAGCGACGGCGAGCAAAAGGAGCAGCGGAGGAAGAAGAGCAGCAAGACGGCGGGCGGCUAGGGUUUAACGGAGCGCGGAAGGCAAAGUUCAAACAGCGCCGACCCCCGCCCCCUUUUAUAGGCAGGGCGCGGCUCUUCGGGAAACCCGCAAUUCGACAGGCCGCGACGCUUCGGGAAACCCGCAAUCCAACAGUACGCCGUCCAUCAACGGUCACAUCAAAAACCCCCGCGGAACCACUUCGAGCGAGGGCAGCGUCUCCGCCAUCUAGCGACGUCUUCGGCACCAGGUGACUUUGUCGAACUGGUCCCUCGGAGGGCAAAUGUUGGGGCGAAGGCAAAGACGCCACCCUUCGCUCGAGGUCUUCGCUGCAGCCGCCGGUCUGACAGAGACAAGACGGGCAGGGACACCCUUCGCUGGAUUCGGCACAUUGACGAAGGCCUGCGGCGACGUCUUCCCGCGGCGCGGCCUCGUUCAGUCCCAAGGCCCACGUGCCAUCUGGCCCAUUGUAACGGGCCCCGCGUGGCCGCCUCUGUAUUACGGGCCUAACUUGUAAAGGCAUACAUGUAAUUACAGCUUGUAACCCUGCUUUAUGGGAAUAUUCUGGGGAUAAACUAGGUGUCUGAGGGCACAUGCGUCCUUAACACAAGGCGUUGGGCACUCAGAUACCUAUAAAUACCCCCGCACAGUGCCCGUGAAAGGCUAGAUUAACAGAGCUAUUGCCCCCGAGCACGUAACCCUGUUGUCACCACUGUUCACCCUUGUUGGCCUUCUUGCUGCUGAGAGCAAGUUCCAACAAACACCACCGCUCAAGCACACUAUAAAUUGAGCACCCCGAUGGGCCCGUAGGGUAGUCAAGCACCAAGCCACCAAGCCGUGCCCUCACCGUGGUCAGCAUAUUCUAGGUCUGUUCAUGCUCCCUGCUCUCUUGUUUCAGCAUCCUUAGGUUCUCCUGAUGCUCCCCGACCCUGCCAAUUGGACUAGGACCCCUUAGAUCGCCGGGAAUGCGUUCGAUUGCCCGUGGUGCCCGCCGUCACCGUGGACAGAGCGUGUUAGAGCUCCGUUAAUAAAAUUAAUUGAGGGGAAACACUUGUUAGGGCUUGAAUUAGGUCUAAGCCGAAGUAGAGCACCGGUCGUUGCGUGAAUCGGCCGGUGUAGGCUCGCCGGAGCUCGGUUCUCCGUCGCUGCCCGUCGUGGACUUUCCCUUGUGAAGAUUAGAACUUCAAGGGUCUUAGUGCAAACGUCAGUGAAACAAACAAAUAGUCCUCUGGGUUAUUGUUGCUUAUUCAAAAUGCUGGGGUCGUCUGUGUAAAACCGCCACUACGGGCGCGCGCGCGGGUGCGUCCCCAUAUUCAGUUUUGAGUUGGGCCGAUUGGGUCAGUUUUGGCCCAACAUUGUAGAACCUUUUUCUUUUUCCUUUUCUGCCAGAGCUAGAGAAUUUCCAGAAAAUUAUAAAAAAAUGCUAAAAAUACCAGACCAAUUUUACUAGGCUCCUAAUUUUCUAUAGUAUUUAAUAAAAAUAGUUUCAUGAUUUUUAGUUCCAAUAGGGAAUUAUGGGAUAUUUAAAAUAGCCAAAACACAUACUUCUGGAAUUUUAGAGAAUAAUUAAUAAUCCCAAAAUUCACCAAACUUUUUAGAUAAACUUUAAAUAUUAUUUAGAAGCUUUGGGUAAAAUUUGGUAUGAUUUGAACCAUGUUUGGUACUUAGAACCCAAAACCCUAACCCCUACCCUAUGAACUUCACUAUAGACUCCAAAAACCCUAGUUUCCCGGAGAUCCAUGAAGGUAAGUUAUCGUAAUUGCUUCCGCAUUUUCGUACCUCCGAUGUAUUGUAAUGUCUGCGUGACGGGUGAAACGCUCUUGGGCAAGGUAAAGAAAUUCAGAUACCGAACUCGUCAAGUGAUCAGGUGCACCUGCAGGGUUGUCUGAGGUCCUUUGGACAAGGACAACUAUAGGUGGGCCUAAUGACUUGGGAGGUCGACCACUUCAUUUUGAAUUUACACUCCUUCUGCUGGGAGCUCUAUAUGAAAUGAUAUGAAUGAAUGCAUAUUCUUGUGCAACUACAAAGAAGAUACUUUAAAGCAGUACAAACUACACCUCACUAUGCACACAAAACUAACCAAACAACAGGGGAGCUAAACAUUCUAAUAUCAUCACUAAGCUCUCAAACCACACUAGUGAACUCUGCCUCCAUAACCAAGAACUCUAUGCUUGCCUUAAGUAAGGACUUACUUUUCUAACUUGAAUCCUACAACUUGAACUUGAUUAAGACAAUCUUCAAACUAUGCCAAAAAUCCAGAUCCCACUAGGCACUCUUACUUCUUUAUCCAAAGAUCAGGUUUCACUUGUUAAACUUGUUCCUUCUUCCAAAGUUCUAAUCCACCUGUGAUUAUGUUCUUCUUAUUAUUCUAAUUAGGGAUUUUACAAGGAUUUUUGAGCAAAUGGCUUACAAACAGCCCCAAACUUUUACCAAGAGUUUAUCUUCUGAUAACAAGACUCUCCACAAGUUUUCAUAAUUUUUGGUGCUCACAUAUGCUCCCUAAAUAUUCAAUUAAUCCUUUUUAGAGCACACUAAAAUUACUUAAAACUUGUAAACUGCACUAAAGAUCCCAAAAAACACAUUUAGUAGAGAGCUUACCAAUUUAGACACCCCAUAAAAUUUGUCCCAUAGAGAUCCUAAAACCGAGCUUUCGAUGGCAGUGGCAAACCUCAGCCCGGCAAGCCCGAUCCCGCGAACCUGUGCGGUAGAGCUCCGACUAAGGACUCAGAGAGCUUCAGCGAUCACAUAAUCCUACAGUGCGCGUGUGAAUUUGACAGAGAAUGGCGUGGGUGAACAGGUCAAUGCGAAGGCUGUCCUCGGCACCACUACACAGUGGCGCAACCUUGUUCCGGCCAACAAACAACGACAGCAUUAAAUAAAAGGACUCUAGUGAGCAUCACUGACCUCUGGAGAUUAUGGAACCAGCACAACGCAGCCGAAAAACCCGUCGAGGAUCCCUGGCCAUGGUGAGGUGAAGAACGGGUGGGCGUGGUCACCUCAGGCAGGAAGAUGGCGUACAAGUUUCUGUGAGAGACCAAGUUUGGUGACUGGGGAGAGGUGAGUACUAGCGUGAACACAGGAAUUCCAGCAAUUACGCAGUGGUCUCGAGCUAAAACCUGAGGGCAAGGGGAAGCUUUAUUGAACCCAACCGAAGAGCACUAGAUAUGGACAAGUACCACUGAACGUGUAGGUAGGGCAUGGACCUCAACUCAGACCUGAUGUAGGAGAACCAUGGGAAUGCCAUCACUGUAUGACCUAUUUUACGUGGCUUCCAUGCACCCAUACCACACAGGCUCAUAACCACAGCCCAAAUACACUGCAUUUAGUCUAUUUUACAGAGCCAAAAUAUCCAUCCCUUCGUUCAGUAAACAGAUAGGAAAGGGAGUAGAUACGUCCCCCACUUGGGUAUGCACUAUGGUCCAAAACUUGAUAUUUUUGAAGGGGUGAGACUACCAAAAUUCAGCACACAGCCCACCCCCAAAUAUAUCUAGCUAGUUCACUGGAUAUGGACAGAGGUAAAUACAGAUAAAAAAACUCCACGGCAGCAAGGGAUAUCCCAUGUUACUUACCCUCCCACAGCAAAGCUUAUUCCUAUCCAUAACUGCCAUAGAAGCAGCUGGAUUCGUUAGUGGAUGUAGAUCUUUACUGCAGAUAUUUUUGAUCCCUAUUGAACUGCCACUGCUUGACUGAACUCACAACUUCACCCCUUUAUUUUUCCCAGCUCCAAGCAACAACAGGGGAACCGACCUUAAGGAACCUUGUUCACCAACUAACCCACUAUCAAUCUUCCAUACAGAUUUAAGCCUUAUAAUCCUUAGAUCAGACACUAAACAGCUCCAAAGUCAGGAGAAAAAUACUGAACCAAAUCCACAGUGACUGAUUCAGGUUUGCAUUUCCAUGCCUGAUAGACCGAAGAUCCUAAAGGAAGAAAACACCUUCUGCAGAUUCUAUUAGAAACCGCGUCGAAGCUAUCAUCUGUAAAGCUUCGGCACAAUGACAGAUCUCAAGACGAAGGGGUGAAUCGACUUAAAGAUAAAAUGACUUGAAGACCCAUGAUGUUUUGUGUCAUUAUUGUAGUCAAUUGUAAAGGGCAUAAAUGUAAUAUCUCACAGGUUGUGCCCUGUGCCUAUAAAUAGGUGAACAGUACCCCUGUACUAUUUACACAAUCUUGUAACUGCCGGCACUUUACGCUGGAAUUAUUGCUUUCCGCUAAGACGAAGGUAUAAAUGUACUUAAAUGUUAAGUAUUAAUAUUUGUGUUCAUGUAAUAAAAUAUGUGAAUAAUGUUACUUAUUUUUAGUAUAUCUUUCUAUAAUGUUUCAUGUUUUAUGUUUUUUACUUUAUAUUGUUUUACAAAUCUGAUCACGAAGGUGUGACCUUCGCGAUAUUUUGCUCAUGGCCUUUGUCCGAAGCUCAUUAAAUCCUUGUGGAGAUAAUGCUUCAGCGGACGAAGGGCAUUAACAUUUAACAUUUUAUGUUGCCUUGUUCUUAAUUCAUAGCAUUUGAGAACAAGUCCCCAACACCCGGCACCACUACACAGUGGCGCAACCUUGUUCCGGCCAACAAACAACGAUAGCAUUAAAAAAGGACUCUAGUGAGCAUCACUGACCUCUGGAGAUUAUGGAACCAGCACAACGCGGCCAAAAACCCGUCGAGGAUCCCUGACCAUGGUGAGGUGAAGAACGGGUGGGCGUGGUCACCUCAGACAGGAAGAUGGCGUGCAAGUUUCUGUGAGAGACCAAGUUUGGUGACUGGGGAGAGGUGAGUACUAGCGUGAACACAGGAAUUCCAGCAUUUACGCAGUGGUCUCAAGCUAAAACCUGAGGGCAAGGGGAAGCUUUAUUGAACCCAACCGAAGAGCACUGGAUAUGGACAAGUACCACUGAACGUGUAUGCAGGGCAUGGACCUCAACUCAAACCUGAUGUAGGAGAACCAUGGGAAUGCCAGCACUGUAUGACCUAUUUUACGU